Non-coding RNA from Microgenomates bacterium OLB22, 365 nucleotides. The record is from Rfam. NCBI's taxonomy places the organism in Bacteria, Candidatus Microgenomatota.
GGGGAUGCUGGGUCUCGACGUGAUGUGUCCUUUCAUAAAUUGCAUAAGCGGAUCUAUCCGUCAAAUAGAAAAAACUAAAUGCAGACGCUUAUCGCGGUCAGCAGCUUGCUUAUGCGAAUGCAUAUGCAUACGUAAACUAAGCAGCCUUCGCUAUACACAGACUCCGGGGAGUGUAUAAAGCGGAGUUAACUAUGCCGGAACCUGUACCACAAGAUCUCGAUAGUAGUGAUUACAGUAUCAUAUCGACAGUCUGAAAGACGUUUGUCUUUGUACUCUUCAGACAGCAGAACACAAAGACUACCUUAUGCUAGAGGUUUUUGAAAAAACCAUUGCGGACGCGGGUUCAACUCCCGCCAUCUCCACUU